Bufo gargarizans (Asiatic toad) is the source of this 565-nucleotide long non-coding RNA. RefSeq lists it as uncharacterized. The record is from RefSeq and is a predicted model, not a curated record. The transcript has 3 exons. NCBI's taxonomy places the organism in Eukaryota, Metazoa, Chordata, Amphibia, Anura, Bufonidae.
UCUGAAUGAAGAUGCUGAGGAAAGUCUACAUCACAGGAGACGUCACUGGAUGGAUGAGCAUUUUCCCGCCACCUACUCCCACGUGGCAAGCCGACACCAACUUGAGCGGGAAACUCCACUUCAAACGCAUGUGACGUCACCGGAAGUGAAGACCGCACGGCCGGAACACUCAGCGAGCGGGUAACUGACACGUGCCCGCCGCUCUGCAGGAAGGAGCCGCUUACUAUCGCAUCAGCGACCAACAGGAGGGAUAAGUGGAUGACUUCGGGAGAGCGUGACUAAAAGUUUGUGGUUUCCAGUUUUUUCACCAAGUUCUUGGAAGUUCUAGUUUCCGAUGUUGUUGGAGGAUGAGACUUCAAUGGUUGGAAGAUUUCUCACAGGUUCUUGAGUUCCUGUUGGGUGUCAUUUACCAAAGAAAGAGGAUGGACUUAUGGCUUACUGGACUAUUAUACUAGGGCUGUAAGGGGAAGGGCCAGUGUAACAUUAUAUUUCCUUACCUCGUGAGAUUUCCCUACCCUCGUCACUUCCGGUCGCACCGGACAUGACGUGAGGAGGUGUGCCGCGC